CCGAUACUGCGCGAGCUCGCGGGCAGUGUCGCGCCGGAGAGAAAUUAGUUUAAUUUUAAAUCUUUCCGGUGAGAAAACAGCUUCAACAUUCAUCAGUAAACUGUUAAUGUGCAGAUAUACUGAGGAGGAAGCCUUUCCUAUCUAUGUUCCCGUCCAAAUGAUGUUGGCACUCGGGGUUAACAGGACACCAGGAUGGGAUGCAAAGGAUUUUGAGUGAAGUGAGAGGAGAAAUUGUGGGGGAACUGGCCAUAAUAUUACAGUCUCCCCUGGACUCGGAGGUGGUGCCCGGAGACUCUAGGAUUGACAACGUUACGGACUUGUUCCAAAAAGGAUUUACAGCCUCAUCAGUUUAACUCUGGUGGUGGGGAAGCUUCUGGCAACAAUUAUUUGGAAUAAAGUUGUAGUCACAUGGAAAAAGUUAUAAUCCACAUCCAAUGUGAACAACGAGGUGGGAAAAAGGAUCCAUCUGGAGGGAACUGGGAUCGUUGAAUGAAUAAUAGCAGCAGGUUAAUCACUACAGGACUAUGAGAGUACCAACCCAAUAGAAUCCUUCAAAGAGCUUUCAUAGAUGAACAAUUGAGAAAGUGUUUCUUUCUGGAAUCUGGAACAACUGUAACUGUCAUGGCUAAAAGUUCAAGUGGGAAGAAAUUAGUUGCUUCAAAAAAAAUGAAAAUGUAAAUGGAAGACAACAUUGGCUGGAAUGCUCCCAGGCCCUGAAUGACAUGGACAACAGUGAGAAAUCUGGGAGAAUCCCAUCAGAACUCAAGCAAUACCUACCCUAACAUUUGAGAGCAACAAGUCACAUUUUCUCCGUUCUACAUUACUACCCAAGGCCCUACCAUUAAUUGCAUAAGCUCCCCUUGUUUGUUGUACCAAAAUGCAAUACCUCGCAUUUAUCCAGAUUGAACUCCAUGUGCCAUUUUUCAGCCUAUUGAUCUAUUUGAUCAAGAUGCUAUUACAAUUUUAGAAAACCUUCUUCACUGUCUACUAUGCCACCAAUUUUGGUAUCAUCUGCAAACUUACUAACCACGCCUUGUGAGUAUUUAAGGCUGAGGUGGAUUCUUGAUCAGUUGGGAAGUCAAGGAUUAUAGAGAAAGGGCACAAAAGUGGAAAUGUUGGAUCAGCCAUGAUCUUAUUGAACGGCAGAAGAGGGUCGAUGGGUUGAAUAGCCUGCUCCUGUUCCAAUGUCUUACUGACUUAUGUUGUAAUAAUAAUGUACAAUGUGAUACAAUAUAUGUUAGAACAUGAACACUGACAAUAAUAAUGUAGUGUUAUUUUAAUACAGAAUAUUUAUAAAAUAUUUUAAUAAUUACUGUUACUGACAUGAAUAUGGUAUUUAUGAACACUAUUUCUGAUAGUAAUAAUGUGGUAUUGAUUAAUAUCUCUAUCACAGAUAUUAACAAUAAUGUACAAAGCGAUUAUUGAUAACACUUUUGCUGAAAAGAAUAAUAACACACAACGUUUAAUGCCACUAUUACUUCUGCUGGUUACUUUUAUUAAACUAAUUACACUAUCACUGAUAUAAAUAAUGUGCAGCUUUAUUGAUAGCAGUCAUUACUGGCACUGAAAAUAAUGUACAGUGUUAUUAAUGAAAUGAUGACCAACAAUCAUCACAGAUCGUGCCAGAUAUCCAGUUCUUAUAAUCACAGUCACACCCAAUCUGGUACUUACCUCAGUUUCUGUAUUUUACAGUUCGGGUUCCCCAGAGCCAUAGACAAUUGUUUCACUCCUGAAUCACACAAUUUAUUAUCACUUAGGUUCAGAUCCAUCACUGACCAAUGUGCAGUGAGAGCAGAGAUGAGUUCCUAGGUUCCAGAAUCUGACUGACAUCAUUCAGGCUCGGGAUUGGAUCAGACAAGUGAAAUAAUGGAUAGCAGAAAACAGGACAUGUGUAAAAUUCAAUACGGACACGGAUACUGCAGAUAACAAUAGCAAUGUAC
Long non-coding RNA from Rhincodon typus (whale shark), 1940 nucleotides. RefSeq lists it as uncharacterized. The record is from RefSeq and is a predicted model, not a curated record. Lineage: Eukaryota; Metazoa; Chordata; Chondrichthyes; Orectolobiformes; Rhincodontidae. The transcript has 4 exons.